Small nuclear RNA from Cervus hanglu yarkandensis (Yarkand deer), 111 nucleotides. The record is from Ensembl. Lineage: Eukaryota; Metazoa; Chordata; Mammalia; Artiodactyla; Cervidae.
GUGCUCGCUUCCAGCACAUAUGCUAAAAUUGGAGUGAUACAGGGAAGAUUAGGAUUAGCAAGGCCCCUGCCCAAGAAUGACAUGCAAAUUUGUGAAGCGGUCCAUACUUUU